Molecule: ribosomal RNA, 426 nt
Filed under: uncultured bacterium
Lineage: Bacteria
Description: bacterial SSU rRNA
Rfam family: Bacterial small subunit ribosomal RNA
Source: RNAcentral
GGGGAAUUUUGGACAAUGGGGGCAACCCUGAUCCAGCCAUCCCGCGUGUGCGAUGAAGGCCUUCGGGUUGUAAAGCACUUUUGGCAGGGAAGAAACAGCCUGGGCUAAUAUCCCGGGCGACUGACGGUACCUGCAGAAUAAGCACCGGCUAACUACGUGCCAGCAGCCGCGGUAAUACGUAGGGUGCAAGCGUUAAUCGGAAUUACUGGGCGUAAAGCGUGCGCAGGCGGUUCGGAAAGAAAGGUGUGAAAUCCCAGGGCUUAACCUUGGAACGGCACAUUUAACUACCGGGCUAGAGUACGUCAGAGGGGGGUCGAAUUCCACGUGUAGCAGUGAAAGGCGUAGAGAUGUGGAGGAAUACCGAUGGCGAAGGCAGCCCCCUGGGAUGAUACUGACGCUCAUGCACGAAAGCGUGGGGAGCAAACA